RNAcentral lists this ribosomal RNA (496 nucleotides) under uncultured bacterium. RNAcentral describes it as "partial 16S ribosomal RNA". It matches the Rfam family "Bacterial small subunit ribosomal RNA", at positions 29 to 507 of the family's 1533-position model. The record is from RNAcentral.
AUGAACGCUGGCGGCGUGCCUAAUCCAUGCAAGGCGAGCGAACAGAUGAGGAGCUUGCUCCUCUGACGUUAGCGGCGGACGGGGGAGUAACACGUGGAUAACCUACCUAUAAGACUGGGAUAACUUCGGGAAACCGGAGCUAAUACCGGAUAAUAUAUUGAACCGCAUGGUUCAAUAGUGAAAGACGGUUUUGCUGGCACUUAUAGAUGGAUCCGCGCCGCAUUAGCUAGUUGGUAAGGUAACGGCUUACCAAGGCAACGAUGCGUAGCCGACCUGAGAGGGUGAUCGGCCACACUGGAACUGAGACACGGUCCAGACUCCUACGGGAGGCAGCAGUAGGGAAUCUUCCGCAAUGGGCGAAAGCCUGACGGAGCAACGCCGCGUGAGUGAUGAAGGUCUUCGGAUCGUAAAACUCUGUUAUUAGGGAAGAACAAAUGUGUAAGUAACUAUGCACGUCUUGACGGUACCUAAUCAGAAAGCCACGGCUAACUACGUG